RNAcentral lists this ribosomal RNA (470 nucleotides) under uncultured organism. RNAcentral's name for it is "partial 16S ribosomal RNA". It matches the Rfam family "Bacterial small subunit ribosomal RNA", at positions 334 to 796 of the family's 1533-position model. The record is from RNAcentral.
CACUCCUGCGGGAGGCAGCAGUGGGGAAUAUUGCACAAUGGGCGCAAGCCUGAUGCAGCCAUGCCGCGUGUAUGAAGAAGGCCUUCGGGUUGUAAAGUACUUUCAGCGGGGAGGAAGGCAAUACGGUUAAUAACCGUGUUGAUUGACGUUACCCGCAGAAGAAGCACCGGCUAACUCCGUGCCAGCAGCCGCGGUAAUACGGAGGGUGCAAGCGUUAAUCGGAAUUACUGGGCGUAAAGCGCACGCAGGCGGUCUGUCAAGUCGGAUGUGAAAUCCCCGGGCUCAACCUGGGAACUGCAUUCGAAACUGGCAGGCUUGAGUCUUGUAGAGGGGGGUAGAAUUCCAGGUGUAGCGGUGAAAUGCGUAGAGAUCUGGAGGAAUACCGGUGGCGAAGGCGGCCCCCUGGACAAAGACUGACGCUCAGGUGCGAAAGCGUGGGGAGCAAACAGGAUUAGAAACCCCGGUAGUCC